CACCAUGAUCUCCAUCAUCAUGAUCUCCAUCAACGUGUCGCCAUCGAGGUUGUCGUGCUAUCUAUGCUAUUACUACUAAAGCUACGACCUAGAAAUAUAGUAAACACAUCUGCAAACACAAACAUUAGUUUAAAGACAACCCUAUGGCUCCUGCCAGUUGUCGUAGCAUCGACGUGCAAGUCGAUAUUAACUAUUACAACAUGAUCAUCUCAUAUAUCCAAUAUAUCACAUCACGUC
This 237-nucleotide long non-coding RNA is filed under the name Hordeum vulgare. RNAcentral's name for it is "long non-coding RNA (HVUL_LNC012675)". Lineage: Eukaryota; Viridiplantae; Streptophyta; Magnoliopsida; Poales; Poaceae. The record is from RNAcentral.